GUCCACAGGCCGGGGCUGAGAAGCCCGGCUUUAAGGGAAACAGCCAUUUCUUUCUCUAUUUGCCUUUUGUGGAAGGGUUUCAGGCCCCAGCUCCGCAGGCACCAUGAAGCUCAGCUGCUGGACCACCCUGUGACCUCCCUCCUCUGAAGAGUUCCUGUCACCCACACUCCUCAGCACAGGAGAAUUCUGACCCCCAGCCCCGCACCGGCUGCCCCUCUGCAGAGCUGGCAGGGCCAGGUGGUUGGGUGUGUCCCUCACACUGGGGGACAUGGAGAUGGCUCUGCUGUGGCUGGUGAGGAGGGCCUCAGAGGGAGGCUGAGCCCCGCGGUCCCCACAGGAAGAGGGAGCAGCUGGACCUAGACCCUCCCUGGCUUCCAGAGAGUGCCUACAUUCUCUCUUGGCUGUCUUGAAUGUCGUCAUUCACUCAUGGAGGAGGGACAGCGAGAGGCAGCACAGGAGCAAAACAGUCCCUUCCGGAUGCUACUGGCGGGCGAGUCCUCUCCAGUGGAGAUCCAUCUCCUCCCUGGAAGGGGUCUGCAGCCCCGAGCUGGCAAUGACCUCAGCUCCCUGGGGACCGACCGGCCACAUCCGCCAAAUAUGGGGUGUGGUGGGUCCCAGUGGCCCACAAGCUCCUGUUCAGGUCCCGGCUUCCCAUUGGGGAGAGCAAAGAAAGCCACGGUGCUGGGCAUCUGGGAAGGAGUGUGGAUGCUCGGAGCCGAUUAUUAACCCAUCACGCACAAGCUGGGAAGAGGAGGAGGCGUCUGUCUUUAGCGGCUCCUUCCUCCCACCCCACCAGCCAGCCCUGGGCGACACACUUACAACAUCUUUUUCCCCCCAAAUCCGCAGCUGGCAGAGCCCCUGGGGGUUAUAAAUAGGAAACAGCAGAGGCCCAGGGAGCUCCCCAGGAGAGGGGACAGCCCUUUAUCUGCCUAAGCCCUGAGCUGUCCUGACAGUGGUGCAAACCUGCCCGCUUGGGCCGGUCCGGGAGGUUUGCUGGCCUGGGCCACAGGGCCACCAGGGUGAGAUGGGCGAGAGCGCAUCCUCGCAGACCCGCAUCCUCCCUUCUAUCUGCCCCACCUGGGGCUGGGCGGCAGCACUUGCCUCCAUCCGCCUCCCGGGCGCUGGAGCAGGAGACAGGCUCACUCACCUCUCGUCUGUCACUGUCCCUGUCACCGGCAAACAAAGGCGAGCGCUCCCGGUGCGCGGCACUCCUGGCCCCGGGCCUUCAGAGCCUCGCGGGGAGAGGCUGGCGGGGACUCGGCAUCCCGGGAAGGUCACCCUGGGCGACGCGGCGGCCGAGCUCUUCCGUGCAGGGCGGUGGAGCGGGUCUGGGUCAGCAGCGGGCUCCCGCUGGCCGGGCG
RNAcentral lists this long non-coding RNA (1361 nucleotides) under Marmota monax (woodchuck). Lineage: Eukaryota; Metazoa; Chordata; Mammalia; Rodentia; Sciuridae. The record is from RNAcentral.